Parus major (Great Tit) is the source of this 994-nucleotide long non-coding RNA. RefSeq lists it as uncharacterized. The record is from RefSeq and is a predicted model, not a curated record. NCBI's taxonomy places the organism in Eukaryota, Metazoa, Chordata, Aves, Passeriformes, Paridae. The transcript is spliced from 2 exons.
GCUGGGCGGGGAGCAGCGCCCGCGGGAGGGAGCGACGGCAGCUCCCGACGGGGCUGGCCAGGGAAUGCUGGCUGUGAACGACGGGGAUGCUGCGCUCAAUGUCCUCUCCCGGUGCCGGGAAUGUCAGGGCCGGUGUCCUCCCCAGACGCACGAUCCGAACGAGGUUUCGGACCUGCCCCCGCAUUCUUCCCCGGCUGCUUCUCGGGACCGGGAAGGGUUUCCCAGUGUUUCGGCGGAGGAAGGUGGCAUUUCCCCACUCAGGGCUGUGCAAACCCGCAGCUGGUGAAGUAGUCUCUAUUAAUAUUCACGAGAAGCUCUGAAAUGCCCGUGACAAAGGCUGUGACUGCAGAUUCCUGUUGCCAGGCCAGAAACGCAGAGUUCGGCAUAACUCAUCACUGAUGUAACCUUCCCACUCCGGGGAGUUUCCGAGCAGGCAGCGAGGAUUAUAAGAGUGGGACUCAGGCACGGGCAGGACAGAAGCCAUGGAGCACUGCACACACCGAGACUGCACUGCCAGCCACAGGGGCCAGCUUUUCAUCUUCCAGUGCAGAUGUGGACAGAGGACUUGCCCCCACCGUCUGCUUCCAUGGAUAGAGCCUGGAGAGCAGCUGCAAGAUGAAGGAUUGAGACCUCACUGAUGCUUCUCCUCUCUCCCUGUCACACCAUUGCCCUCCACCCACUGGAGGAAGCCACAGCGUGGAGGGGGCCCAGCCUUUGCUCUGAAAGGAAGCAGGAGGGAGACAGUGGGAGGUCAGCAAGAGUUGGCAGCAACAUUAUCUGCUUUCCAGCUGUGCUGAGAUGCUUCUGCUGGCAAACAGGAGCUCUGCUGUCCCUCUUCUCACAGGAGUGUUUCAUGGUUGGGAUUACCAAAUAAGUCCUGUAAAAUGCUGGUAUGCUGUGCUUCACUCUGCCAAUGGGACAAGAAUUUUGGUAUUUCUGCAACAACCUGUCUUGUCCAAAACAACAAAAUAAACAAAGCCAUGUCUGUCUUGGA